AGAAUGAACGUUGGCGGCGUGGAUUAGGCAUGCAAGUCGAACGGGCCGCAAGGCCAGUGGCGGAAGGGUGAGUAAGGCGACGGUAACCAACCCCAUGGUUGGGUAUAGCCGCGGGAAACUGCGGGUAAUCCCCAGCGACGUCCGGAUCGGACAUCCGAUCUUGACCAAAGUUUUAACGCCGUGGGACGGGCCGUCGUGGUAUUAGUUAGUUGGCGGGUAAUGGCCCACCAAGACGAUGAUCUGUAUCC
RNAcentral lists this ribosomal RNA (248 nucleotides) under uncultured bacterium. RNAcentral describes it as "partial small subunit ribosomal RNA". It matches the Rfam family "Bacterial small subunit ribosomal RNA", at positions 26 to 288 of the family's 1533-position model. The record is from RNAcentral.